This 2888-nucleotide ribosomal RNA is filed under the name Acinetobacter baumannii 1457504. RNAcentral describes it as "bacterial LSU rRNA". It matches the Rfam family "Bacterial large subunit ribosomal RNA". Lineage: Bacteria; Pseudomonadati; Pseudomonadota; Gammaproteobacteria; Moraxellales; Moraxellaceae. The record is from RNAcentral.
UCAAGUAAUUAAGUGCAUGUGGUGGAUGCCUUGGCAGUCAGAGGCGAUGAAAGACGUGAUAGCCUGCGAAAAGCUCCGGGGAGGCGGCAAAUAUCCUUUGAUCCGGAGAUGUCUGAAUGGGGGAACCCACCUACUUUAAGGUAGGUAUUGCAACAUGAAUACAUAGUGUUGCAAGGCGAACGAGGGGAAGUGAAACAUCUCAGUACCCUUAGGAAAGAAAUCAAUUGAGAUUCCCUCAGUAGCGGCGAGCGAACGGGGAUCAGCCCAUUAAGUUAUGUGUGUUUUAGUGGAACGCUCUGGGAAGUGCGAACGUAGAGGGUGAUAUUCCCGUACACGAAAGGGCACACAUAAUGAUGACGAGUAGGGCGAGGCACGUGAAACCUUGUCUGAAUAUGGGGGACCAUCCUCCAAGGCUAAAUACUCCUGACUGACCGAUAGUGAACCAGUACCGUGAGGGAAAGGCGAAAAGAACCCCUGUGAGGGAGUGAAAUAGAUCCUGAAACCGCAUGCAUACAAGCAGUGGGAGCACCUUCGUGGUGUGACUGCGUACCUUUUGUAUAAUGGGUCAGCGACUUAUAUUCAGUAGCGAGGUUAACCGUAUAGGGGAGCCGUAGAGAAAUCGAGUCUUAAUAGGGCGUUUAGUUGCUGGGUAUAGACCCGAAACCAGGCGAUCUAUCCAUGAGCAGGUUGAAGGUUGGGUAACACUAACUGGAGGACCGAACCCACUGUCGUUGAAAAGCCAGGGGAUGACUUGUGGAUAGGGGUGAAAGGCUAAUCAAGCCUGGUGAUAGCUGGUUCUCCCCGAAAGCUAUUUAGGUAGCGCCUCGGACGAAUACCAUAGGGGGUAGAGCACUGUUUCGGCUAGGGGGUCAUCCCGACUUACCAAACCGAUGCAAACUCCGAAUACCUAUGAGUACUAUCCGGGAGACAGACUGCGGGUGCUAACGUCCGUAGUCAAGAGGAAAACAAUCCAGACCGCCAGCUAAGGCCCCAAAAUCAUAGUUAAGUGGGAAACGAUGUGGGAAGGCAUAGACAGCUAGGAGGUUGGCUUAGAAGCAGCCACCCUUUAAAGAAAGCGUAAUAGCUCACUAGUCGAGUCGGCCUGCGCGGAAGAUGUAACGGGGCUAAAACUAUGUGCCGAAGCUGCGGAUGUAUACUUUGUAUACGUGGUAGGGGAGCGUUCUGUAAGCCGAUGAAGGUGUGUUGAGAAGCAUGCUGGAGGUAUCAGAAGUGCGAAUGCUGACGUGAGUAACGACAAAACGGGUGAAAAACCCGUUCGCCGAAAGACCAAGGGUUCCAGUCCAACGUUAAUCGGGGCUGGGUGAGUCGACCCCUAAGGCGAGGCCGAAAGGCGUAGUCGAUGGGAAAAUGGUUAAUAUUCCAUUACUUCUGUGUAAUGCGAUGAGAGGACGGAGAAGGCUAAAUCAGCCUGGCGUUGGUUGUCCAGGUGAAAGGAUGUAGGCAUGUAUCUUAGGCAAAUCCGGGGUACUCUAUGCUGAGAUCUGAUAGCAAGCUGUACUUGUACAGCGAAGUGGUUGAUGCCAUGCUUCCAGGAAAAGUCUCUAAGCUUCAGUUACACAGGAAUCGUACCCGAAACCGACACAGGUGGUCAGGUCGAGUAGACCAAGGCGCUUGAGAGAACUCUGCUGAAGGAACUAGGCAAAAUGGUACCGUAACUUCGGGAGAAGGUACGCUGUUGUUGGUGAUGGAACUCGCUUCCUGAGCUGACGACAGCCGCAGAAACCAGGCCGCUGCAACUGUUUAUUAAAAACAUAGCACUCUGCAAACACGAAAGUGGACGUAUAGGGUGUGAUGCCUGCCCGGUGCUGGAAGGUUAAUUGAUGGGGUUAGCGUAAGCGAAGCUCUUGAUCGAAGCCCCAGUAAACGGCGGCCGUAACUAUAACGGUCCUAAGGUAGCGAAAUUCCUUGUCGGGUAAGUUCCGACCUGCACGAAUGGCAUAAUGAUGGCGGCGCUGUCUCCAGCAGAGGCUCAGUGAAAUCGAAAUCGCUGUGAAGAUGCAGUGUACCCGCGGCUAGACGGAAAGACCCCGUGAACCUUUACUGCAGCUUGACACUGAACUUUGACCUUACUUGUGUAGGAUAGGUGGGAGGCUUUGAAGCUGGAACGCUAGUUCCAGUGGAGCCGUCCUUGAAAUACCACCCUGGUAAUGUUGAGGUUCUAACUCUGUCCCGUGAUCCGGGACGAGGACCGUGUCUGGUGGGUAGUUUGACUGGGGCGGUCUCCUCCUAAAGAGUAACGGAGGAGUACGAAGGUGCGCUCAGCGUGGUCGGAAAUCACGCGUAGAGUAUAAAGGCAAAAGCGCGCUUAACUGCGAGACCCACAAGUCGAGCAGGUACGAAAGUAGGUCUUAGUGAUCCGGUGGUUCUGUAUGGAAGGGCCAUCGCUCAACGGAUAAAAGGUACUCUGGGGAUAACAGGCUGAUACCGCCCAAGAGUUCAUAUCGACGGCGGUGUUUGGCACCUCGAUGUCGGCUCAUCUCAUCCUGGGGCUGAAGCAGGUCCCAAGGGUAUGGCUGUUCGCCAUUUAAAGAGGUACGCGAGCUGGGUUUAGAACGUCGUGAGACAGUUCGGUCCCUAUCUACCGUGGGCGCUGGAAAUUUGAGAGGAUCUGCUCCUAGUACGAGAGGACCAGAGUGGACGAACCUCUGGUGUACCGGUUGUGACGCCAGUCGCAUCGCCGGGUAGCUAUGUUCGGAAGGGAUAACCGCUGAAAGCAUCUAAGCGGGAAGCCUACCUCAAGAUAAGAUUUCCCUAGGACUUUAUGUCCUCUAAAGAGCCGUUCGAGACUAGGACGUUGAUAGGUUGGAUGUGGAAGCAUAGUGAUAUGUGAAGCUGACCAAUACUAAUUGCUCGUGAGGCUUGACUAU